GAAUGGCCGCAGUAUAUUGACUGUGCAAAGGUAGCAUAAUCAUUAGUUUUUUAAUUGAAAGCUGGAAUGAAAGGUUUGAUGAGAAAAUAACUGUCUCGGUUUGAUUGUUUUAGAAUUUCAAUUUUAAGUGAGAAAGCUUAAAUUUUUUAUAAAGACGAGAAGACCCUAUAGAGUUUUACAUUUGCUUAAUUAUUCGUUUGGAGGUGUUUAUUGGCUAGUAUUUUUGCAUGUGUUUUGUUGGGGCGAUGGAAAAAUUUAUUUAACUUUUUUUUGUUUUCUACAUUGAUUUAUGAUUAUUUGAUCCUUUUUUUUUGGAUUAUAAGAUUAAAUUACCUUAGGGAUAACAGCGUAAUUUUUCUUGGAGAGUUCUUAUCGAUAGGAGAGUUUGCGACCUCGAUGUUGGAUUAAAAUUAGGUUCCGGUGAAGGGGCUGGGAUUUUGGGUCUGUUCGACCUUUAAAAUUUU
Molecule: ribosomal RNA, 464 nt
Filed under: Prionotheca coronata
Lineage: Eukaryota; Metazoa; Arthropoda; Insecta; Coleoptera; Tenebrionidae
Description: partial large subunit ribosomal RNA
Rfam family: Bacterial large subunit ribosomal RNA
Source: RNAcentral